GAUGAACGCUGGCGGCGUGCCUAACACAUGCAAGUCGAGCGAGAUAAAUGUGAGUGGAGACUUCGGUCAAAGCAAUCAAUUUGAAAGCGGCGGACGGGUGAGUAACGCGUGAGCAAUCUGCCCCAUACAAAGGGAUACCCACUGGAAACGGUGAUUAAUACCUUAUAAGACCACGAAGUCGCCUGGCUUAGUGGCCAAAGAUUUAUCGGUAUGGGAUGAGCUCGCGUCUGAUUAGCUAGUUGGUGAGGUAAUGGCUCACCAAGGCGACGAUCAGUAGCCGACCUGAGAGGGUGAACGGCCACACUGGAACUGAGACACGGUCCAGACUCCUACGGGAGGCAGCAGUGGGGAAUAUUGCACAAUGGGCGCAAGCCUGAUGCAGCAACGCCGCGUGAAUGAUGAAGGCCUUCGGGUCGUAAAGUUCUGUCCUAAGGGAAGAAUACAGUGACGGUACCUUAGGAGGAAGCCCCGGCUAACUACGUGCCAGCCGCCGCGGUAA
Molecule: ribosomal RNA, 499 nt
Filed under: uncultured bacterium
Lineage: Bacteria
Description: partial 16S ribosomal RNA
Rfam family: Bacterial small subunit ribosomal RNA
Source: RNAcentral